Molecule: small RNA, 75 nt
Filed under: Xanthomonas campestris
Lineage: Bacteria; Pseudomonadati; Pseudomonadota; Gammaproteobacteria; Lysobacterales; Lysobacteraceae
Also listed under: 4 other names
Description: sRNA sX9
Rfam family: Xanthomonas sRNA sX9
Source: RNAcentral
AUGUACCCACGUACAUUCCGGUUCCUCCGCGCCGCCCGCACCCACCUGACGGCUGCUCGCUACGUUUUGUUAGCC